RNAcentral lists this ribosomal RNA (253 nucleotides) under uncultured bacterium. RNAcentral's name for it is "partial 16S ribosomal RNA". It matches the Rfam family "Bacterial small subunit ribosomal RNA", at positions 524 to 776 of the family's 1533-position model. The record is from RNAcentral.
UACAGGGGGGGCAAGCGUUGUUCGGAAUUACUGGGCGUAAAGGGCGCGUAGGCGGCCUUCUAAGUCAGACGUGAAAUCCCUCGGCUCAACCGGGGAACUGCGUCUGAGACUGGAAGGCUUGAAUCCGGGAGAGGGAUGUGGAAUUCCAGGUGUAGCGGUGAAAUGCGUAGAUAUCUGGAGGAACACCGGUGGCGAAGGCAAUCCCCUGGGCCUGCACUGACGCUCAUGCACGAAAGCGUGGGGAGCAAACAGG